This is a long non-coding RNA of Musca domestica (house fly), 438 nucleotides long. RefSeq lists it as uncharacterized. Lineage: Eukaryota; Metazoa; Arthropoda; Insecta; Diptera; Muscidae. The transcript is spliced from 3 exons. The record is from RefSeq and is a predicted model, not a curated record.
AUUACUCAUGAUGUAUGUGGCACUAAUGAAGUUAAAAUCAAAACAGUGGAAAAUUGCAACAAAUUAAAACGUAAAAGAAAUUCAAAAGCGGAAUAGUGUGCAAUUAAAACAACAAAAACAAUCGGAAUGGCUGACAAGCAAAAUGCAAAGCGGAAUGAGAGAAGAAAAAACAAACUUAAUUUGAAGGUAAGAAUUAAGUUUGUGUUAUGGCACGAUAGCAGCAACAGAACAGAUCACCACAGCAAUUUAGCAAAUUAGUUUUGAAGCAAUUUAACAAAACAACCGACACUUUAUAUCCUGGGUUUCGCACCAAAAUGUUCCAAUUUAAUUUAAGGGAAGUAUCAAAACAAAUACGGACACAGUUAUCUUCAAUUUUUUAUUAAUUUUUAUUUAGUUUUAUGGAUUUUUGGUCUGGUAAGGAAGUCGAAGACGAUGCGG